GGGAUAGAAUUCCAGGAGUAGCGGUGAAAUGCGUAGAUAUCUGGAGGAAUACCAAAGGCGAAGGCAGUCCCCUGGUCCGAUACUGACACUGAGGUACGAAAGCGUGGGGAGCAAACAGGAUUAGAUACCCUGGUAGUCCACGCCCUAAACGAUGUCGAUUAGCCAUUGGAAGGACCCCUUUUCCUUUCAGUGACGUAGCUAACGCGUUAAAUCGACCGCCUGGGAAGUACGACCGCAAGGUUAAAACUCAAAGGAAUUGACGGGGACCUGAACAAGCGGUGAAUGAUGUGGAUUAGUUCGAUGCUACGCGAAGAACCUUACCUACCUUUGACAUGGCCAAAGUUCUACCGAGAGGCGGAAGUACUCGUAAGAGGAUUGGCGCACAGGUGCUGCAUGGUUGUCGUCAGUUCGUGUCGUGAGAUGUUGGGUUCAGUCCCGCAACGAACGCAACCCUUAUCUUUAAUUGCUCCUAUUUUAACAGGCACUUUAAAGAAACUGCCAAUGAUAAGUUGGAGGAAGGUGGGGAUCACGUCAAGUCCGCAUGGCCUUUAUAGGUAGGGCUUCACACGUCAUACAAUGGUUAGAACAAAGAGCUGCAAAUUCGUAAGAAGGAGCCAAUCUCACAAACCUAACCUCAGUUCGAAUUGCGGUCUGCAACUCGAGCGCAUGAAGCCGGAAUCGCUAGUAAUCGUGGAUCAGAAUGCCACGGUGAAUACGUUCUUAGGUCUU
This 729-nucleotide ribosomal RNA is filed under the name Candidatus Tremblayella phenacoccinincola. RNAcentral's name for it is "bacterial SSU rRNA". It matches the Rfam family "Bacterial small subunit ribosomal RNA", at positions 658 to 1382 of the family's 1533-position model. The record is from RNAcentral. Lineage: Bacteria; Pseudomonadati; Pseudomonadota; Betaproteobacteria.